Molecule: non-coding RNA, 28 nt
Filed under: Bombyx mori (domestic silkworm)
Lineage: Eukaryota; Metazoa; Arthropoda; Insecta; Lepidoptera; Bombycidae
Source: RNAcentral
UAGAUAUGGAUUUGAUAGCGCGAGCAGC